CCAUAUACCGAGGCUGCCGAUCGAGCGAGCUUGCUCGCGAAGUGAUUGAACGAGGUUCCAGGAAAAGCCACUAAGCUUCAGCUACACACGACCGUACCGCAAACCGACACUGGUGCGCGAGAUGAGUAUUCUAAGGCGCUUGAGAGAACUCGGGAGAAGGAACUCGGCAAAUUGACACCGUAACUUCGGAAGAAGGUGUGCCCUAGUAGUGUGAAGUGAACAACGGAGCAUGAAUGGGUUGCAAAAAAUCGGUGGCUGCGACUGUUUAUUAAAAACACAGCACUCUGCAAACACGAAAGUGGACGUAUAGGGUGUGACGCCUGCCCGGUGCUGGAAGAUUAAAUGAUGGGGUGCAAGCUCUUGAUUGAAGUCCCAGUAAACGGCGGCCGUAACAAUAACGGUCCUAAGGUAGCGAAAUUCCUUGUCGGGUAAGUUCCGACCUGCACGAAUGGCGUAACGAUGGCCACACUGUCUCCUCCCGAGACUCAGCGAAGUUGAAAUGUUUGUGAUGAUGCAAUCUCCCCGCGGAAAGACGGAAAGACCCCAUGAACCUUUACUGUAGCUUUGUAUUGGACUUUGAACAGAUCUGUGUAGGAUAGGUGGGAGGCUUUGAAGCAGGGUCGCUAGAUCUUGUGGAGCCAACGUUGAAAUACCACCCUGGUGUGUUUGAGGUUCUAACCUAGGUCCAUUAUCUGGAUCGGGGACAGUGCAUGGUAGGCAGUUUGACUGGGGCGGUCUCCUCCCAAAGCGUAACGGAGGAGUUCGAAGGUACGCUAGUUACGGUCGGACAUCGUGACGAUAGUGCAAUGGCAUAAGCGUGCUUAACUGCGAGACUGACAAGUCGAGCAGAUGCGAAAGCAGGACAUAGUGAUCCGGUGGUUCUGUAUGGAAGGGCCAUCGCUCAACGGAUAAAAGGUACUCUGGGAUAACAGGCUGAUACCGCCCAAGAGUUCAUAUCGACGGCGGUGUUUGGCACCUCGAUGUCGGCUCAUCUCAUCCUGGGGCUGUAGCCGGUCCCAAGGGUAUGGCUGUUCGCCAUUUAAAGAGGUACGUGAGCUGGGUUUAAAACGUCGUGAGACAGUUUGGUCCCUAUCUUCCGUGGGCGCUGCAGAUUUGAGGAAGCCUGCUCCUAGUACGAGAGGACCGGAGUGGACGCACCUCUGGUGUAUCGGUUGUCACGCCAGUGGCAUUGCCGAGUAGCUAUGUGCGGAAGAGAUAACCGCUGAAAGCAUCUAAGCGGGAAACUCGUUCCAAGAUGAGAUCUGCCUAAAA
Molecule: ribosomal RNA, 1272 nt
Filed under: metagenome
Description: bacterial LSU rRNA
Rfam family: Bacterial large subunit ribosomal RNA
Source: RNAcentral